ACGACGCAAUUACGUCAACCUGCCGCUGGUUAACCAAGAAUUCUGCAGCUGCAAAAUUGUGACUUGUCACCGGCUGAUGAUCUGCCAAAACCAGCAAAGACAACGUAGGUCCCAUUUGAAUCUCUUCAUUUUAAAGGAAUUGGAAUCUACUUAAUGGAGUAGGCUAAUUUAUCUUGGAAUGUAGCAUUCCAUAACUUUUCAAAGUUUAGAUAUAAGCCUAUCUUAAAUUUAUGGGGUGGGAGAUGGAAAUUGAUUCUAUAAAUUAUGAUUAUUAGAAUGGAAUUCAAUUCUUAUAGCACGCUCUUGGACUCGCUUCCCUAUAGCAGAAGUGCAGCACAUAAGUAUCUCUCCCAUAUCGCCAAUAAUAAUAUAAAUACAUUCCACGUACAAUUAUAUUAGUUUAAUUAAUUUGUGUCUAAAUUAUAAUUAGUAGAAUGGAAUUCAAUUCCAUUCCAUGGAUCUAAACGGGACCUUAAAGAAAUCGACUGGUUAACGAUGAGAAGCAACGAGUAAUCGAUCAUGAUGCAUGCACCAUGUGAACAGCUGAUUUUCCCCGGUCAUAUUUUUCAGACAUGCGCUAAAGAAAUCGAUCACGUCUAGUCCAACGACUUGGCUCACAUAUGGUAUUGCUCGGUCAUCCUAC
This 643-nucleotide long non-coding RNA is filed under the name Setaria viridis. RNAcentral describes it as "long non-coding RNA (SVIR_LNC006370)". Lineage: Eukaryota; Viridiplantae; Streptophyta; Magnoliopsida; Poales; Poaceae. The record is from RNAcentral.